RNAcentral lists this ribosomal RNA (841 nucleotides) under Gammarus stalagmiticus. RNAcentral describes it as "partial large subunit ribosomal RNA". The stretch from base 429 to 575 matches the Rfam family "Bacterial large subunit ribosomal RNA", at positions 1796 to 2008 of the family's 2925-position model. The record is from RNAcentral. Lineage: Eukaryota; Metazoa; Arthropoda; Malacostraca; Amphipoda; Gammaridae.
CUUACAAUGAAAAUAACCUUAGGGCUUUCUUGUAAUGUAAGUUAUAGUUAAAAUAAAAGAAAAUAUAUUAAUUGUACCUUUUGUAUCAGGGGGGCUUAAAAUUACAGUAAUAUAGUGAUCGAUUAGAGUAGAUCUUUUUAUUAAAUUUUUAGUUGUAAUUAAAGGUUAUAAAAAUUUAAGAGGUGAAAAGUGUACGGUGCUCGUGGUAUCUAAUUGUUUUGUGUAUAAAUGGUUAAGUUUUUAUGUUUCUAAAAUAUUAAGAAAUUAUUAAAAGCUAGGCUUUAGAUUAGCCAUGUUAAUAGAUUGUUUUAAGUAAUUUAUUUAAAUGUUUUAGGUUAGAGUUUACAGUCAAUAUUUAAAUAUUUAAGUAAAUAAAUAUAAUGAGUUUAUUGAACAACAAAAGAAGAUUUAAAAUUACUCGAGUAUGUUAGAAAGUUUAGCAAAAACAUUUCUAUUUACGGAAAUAAAAGUAAAGCCUGCCCGGUGCUAAGUUAACGGCUGCGGUAUUUUGACCGUGCUAAGGUAGCAUAAUCAUUUGCUUUUUAAUUGAUAGCUGGUAUGAAAGGUUAAACUAAUUUACCUAGUUUGUAGAUCUAGUUAGGAGUUUUAAGUUAAGGUAAUAAUUCUUUAAUUUUCUAGGGGACGAUAAGACCCUAGAAGCUUGAUAAAUAUAGAUUUUAUUAGUUAUAAAUUAAAAUUUAUUUUACUGGGGCGGUAUUUACAAUUAAACUGUUUUUUUAGUGAUGGAUCUCUUAUAUAAGGAAAUAAUGGGUAAGUUACUCUAGGGAUAACAGUGCGAUAUAUUUAUAGAGACCUUAUCGAUAAAUGUGAUUGCAACCUC